UUGAAAGGGAAACGAUUGAAGUCAGUCGUACCUGUGGGUAAUCAGCCUUUUGGGUGUGAUUUUGUGGAGUGUGAGGAGUUAAACGCCUUCAUGCCUGCAUAUUCGUGCACUUUGGGUGUAUUUACCCGUGUGGUAAGUUAACAUCAAUUUCGGUGGUCAUAAAAUGGCUGGAGGAAUGUAGCUUCGAUCUUGUAUUGAAGUGUUAUAGCCUUCGGUAGAUGUGAUGAUCGGGAUUGAGGAUUGCAACGGAUACCCUCGGGGCUACCUGUCUGAUCUCUGAUCGUUGCUCUGGUGCCGAAAGCUUGCUUACGGUUAUCAAAGUCGAUGGUUAAUAGGUUAGAACGGGUUAAAUCGUUAAGGAUGUUGACGUA
This 371-nucleotide ribosomal RNA is filed under the name uncultured Glomeromycotina. RNAcentral describes it as "LSU rRNA". The record is from RNAcentral. Lineage: Eukaryota; Fungi; Glomeromycota.